GGGCCCGCACAAGCGGUGGAGCAUGUGGUUUAAUUCGAUGCAACGCGAAGAACCUUACCAGGUCUUGACAUCCUCGGAAUUUGGCAGAGAUGCCUUAGUGCCUUCGGGAGCCGAGUGACAGGUGCUGCAUGGCCGUCGUCAGCUCGUGUCGUGAGAUGUUGGGUUAAGUCCCGUAACGAGCGCAACCCUUGUCCUUAGUUGCCAGCACGUAAUGGUGGGAACUCUAGGGAGACUGCCGGUGACAAACCGGAGGAAGGUGGGGACGACGUCAGGUCAUCAUGGCCCUUACGACCUGGGCUACACACGUGCUACAAUGGCUGGUACAGAGGGUUGCGAAGUCGCGAGGCGAAGC
RNAcentral lists this ribosomal RNA (352 nucleotides) under uncultured bacterium. Its description in RNAcentral is "bacterial SSU rRNA". It matches the Rfam family "Bacterial small subunit ribosomal RNA", at positions 917 to 1268 of the family's 1533-position model. The record is from RNAcentral.